Molecule: RNA transcript, 1637 nt
Organism: Tribolium castaneum (red flour beetle)
Lineage: Eukaryota; Metazoa; Arthropoda; Insecta; Coleoptera; Tenebrionidae
Gene: nudE
Gene name: nudE
Exons: 9
Source: RefSeq, a predicted model, not a curated record
AGAGGUUAUACCAAUCGAUGAAACAAGCUUUCUGUAUUACCGACUUACCGACGACAUUCCAACGGCCAUUUUGUCAAUAAUAUUGUGAAGUUUGAAAAAAAACUGCUACAGUUUUUAUGAGCGAUUUUACAGGUAAUGACUGUUUGGUGUGAUAAUUUAUAAUUAAAACAAAUCGUAUAAAAAUGAGUAAAGUUGACCAACCUACUUUUGACAAUAAAGAUGAAGAGGUGGAGUAUUGGAAAAACCUUGCAACGCAAUAUUUGGAUAAAAUUGAUCGACUACAGAUAGAGUCGGAUGAAUUCGUCAGCGAAUCCCAGCAAUUGGAACGCGAAUAUGAGGCUACAAUUGAGCAAAAUGAAAAGAAAAUCAAAGAACUAACUUUAGCUAAUAAUAGAACGUUCAAUGAAAUAGAAUCACUUAGAGUAAAAUUAGAUCAAAGCAAUAAACAAAACCAAUCCUACCAAACCGAAAUCGAGAAUCUGACAAAAGAAAAAGCUGAUAUGUCGCGCUACAUCCGUGAACUCGAGCAGAAAAACGAUGACCUUGAGCGAUCACGACGCAUCGUUGAGGAAUCAAUUGCAGGGAUUGAAGCAGCGUUCCAUAACGUCAUCGAACGAAAUGCGAUUCUCGAAUCCGAAAUCGACGAAAAAGAGGGUCUCAAAGAGAAACUCCAGCGAUUGGCUGAUGAAACCAGAGAUCUUAAACAGGAGCUUCUAGUGAAAGAAAAAUCUCUAGAUAACGAACGACCCCUCAACGGAUUCAGAUCGGUGCCUAUCGUUGACUCCAACAGACUUAAAGAAAUCGAGACUCAAACCACCCCAGUUAAAAAAGAUCAGAUAUCCUAUCAAGCAUCUAUAACACCAGCGUCUCGCGUAAUGGCCUUGAAUGUCGUCAGUGAUCUAAUCCGAAAAGUCGGGCUGUCUCGCUUCCUUUGUUCACAAUGUGGCCGAUAUAAAUGUACAGUUUGUCCGCCACCUGCCACCAAUAACACACCGAGGGUUUAGAACGCAGAUUGGAGAAGAGCCGGUACGACUACAGGGAUAUCGGAUCCAAUGAUUUAAGGAGUCGGCAUUCAACCAAAAAUAGUCCAGCACCAAGCAUCCAAGGUUUAUCAAAAUGAGAAAUAAAUAAUUUAUCCGUGUUUUAGGUACGUCUGGCUUAAAAACAAAAACUCAUUAUCCAGUAUUAUUCAACUAUUCUGUUUUUACGUAUGAAAUAUAUUGAGCGAAAAAGUGAUCUUAUCUCAUUACUUGGUGAUAUUAUUUAAGUCAGAAGUUCCUUUAACAUUUUGUAAAUAAUUUUUUGGUGAUAAUUUUUGCUUAGUUGGAUUCCUUUAAUAUCAAUGUAAAUAUUAUUGCGAAUAAGUGUGUGACUGGUUUUCGUCCCCCUUAAAGCUUGUUUACGUCCAUAAGUGACGUAAAUUAAGAUUUUUUUCAACUUCCUGUGUCCCAAAAUCUAUUUUUUCACCUAGUUAGUUAAUAGAUUAAUUUAAAACGGGUUUUGCGUUUUAUUACUUGUUAAUUUAUUCAAUCACUAAUAAUUAGGUACAAAUUUUAUAUUUUUAAUGCAUAUUCCAUUAUUUAAGGUGCAAAUAUUUAUUACUGUAUAACAAGAAACAAAUAAAUCAAUUAAAGUAA